This is a long non-coding RNA of Brassica rapa (field mustard), 6288 nucleotides long. RefSeq lists it as uncharacterized. The record is from RefSeq and is a predicted model, not a curated record. NCBI's taxonomy places the organism in Eukaryota, Viridiplantae, Streptophyta, Magnoliopsida, Brassicales, Brassicaceae.
CAAUUUAUGUUUUGUAUGGAAGUCAUUGUUAUUGAUUAAUGGUUUUAGGGUGAAAGGCUUAACUGAUAAUUUCUGAAUAAAUCGUUAGUGGUUUGUUUAUGUACAUAUGUUCGGGGUUAAAUUUAUUAAAUAAAGCAUUGUCAUCAUCUGACUCACUAUAGAAACCACAAUUUCGGUUAUCAUACCAAAUCUAUCACGCUUUCAAUAUUUGCUUCAUCACUGUCCUACUUACUUUUUUGUAUUUUUAUUCGACAUCCCUUUCUAGAUUUUAUGUACAUAUACUGAUAUAUACUUAUAUGAAUUAUAAUACGUAUAAAAAUAUCUUUUAUGUGCAUAUUUUCCCCAAAAUAUCUUUUAUGUACCAUAUUAUCUUGUUUUGUUGUUGUAAGUUGUCAUAUUUGUUAUUGACAUGUGACGAUCAAAAUCUUGAAAUGGACUUCCAUGUGGGCACAAACGCUUUAGAGCAAAAGGAUAAUGUUUAACUAUCUUAUGGCUGAACUUUUUUGUGUGUUUUUUUUGCUAACUAACUUUGUUGGUGUAUGAAAAAAUAUUAUAUUCCCGAACUUGAUUUAGUAUCUUAUACAUAUCCUCAGAACCAAAUCACAAAAGUUUAUUGUUGUCCAAUAAGUCGAUAACUACAAUAAAUUAGAAAGAGAGAAACCGACGAUAUAUAUAUCAGGAUAUAUCAGCCUGAAAAUAUUAUAUUUCUAAACUUCGUUUGUUAUUUAAUAUUUUUAUAACUCCAAAGAAUUCAUUCAUUUUUAAGAAACAAGCCACAUCAGCUUAAACCAAAUGGUCUUGGUCUAGUGGUAAAUGACUCACAGCUGUGAGUACUGCUCUGAGUUCGAUUCUCUUUGGCCAACAAGAGCGUCUUAAGUGAUAAAAAAACGUGGAUCUUACGGAUCUCGUAGUGAUUAAUCCUUAUGUCUAGAAAGCCUUUAGAAUCACAUUACAGUUAUAAAAAAAAAAGCAACAUCAGCUCGUACAAUUUCGGAGAUGGGUGUAACAGACAUUAAUGAAUGGUUAAGACCACAGUGUUUUAGUGGAUCAAAUCAACCUCAGCCGAUGCUAUAUGGGGAAUUCCAGAUAACAUAGGAGUCUUGAUUCCGGAAAUUUUAAGUACAAUUAUGAUGGCUUUCGCAUCAACCGCAAAGAUACGUUCGGAUAAGGAAACUCUUAUCUAAUUUUAUGUGAAAUUGUUACAUCCUUAGGGCAUCUCCAUCCCCACUCCAUUUUUUUCUCUAAAAUGGAACAAAAGUGAAUAUGGAGUAAGGAAUGCUCCAACCCAACUCCAUAUCUCACUUCAUAAUGAAAUUUACUCCAUAAAUGGAAUAAUCUAUUUUUUGUUUGUUCAUCACUCCAUUAUAAAGUGAGAAAUAGAGUAGGGUUGGAGCAAUUUUACUCCAUUUUCACUUUUACUCCAUUUUAGAGGAAAAAAUGGAGUUUUACAUUGGAGAUGCUCUUAGAUCACUUUAUCACAUAGUGCAUCUAUUUUAUUUUAUUACUUGCUUAUGGGAGGGUCCAGACUAUGUAAGUGACUUAUUACACAGUUUUUAAUGACACAAACACACCUUAAUAUGUAAUGAAACAUUAUUACAAUACCACACGAAAUAAAGUUUUUCUUUGGUUUUAAAAAUGCAACUGUUAGGGCCAAAAAGUAUCAAUAUAGGUUUUUUUACUAAAAUAUAAGACACACAAAAAUAUAUUUAACAGUUUAGAAUUUAAAUUUUGGAUUUGCAUUUAUAAGGUCUACUUUUAGGAUUAAUUUUUUACUACUGAUUAUUCUUGAAAGAGUAAAUAAAUAUUAUUUUAGAAAAUCAUGAUAUUUUUGAAACAAAAAUUUUAAACUAGUGGUUUUUGCUCAUAUAUAAUGUCUCUGAACCAAUAAACAUAGAUCAUAGAUGUUGUUUGUAUGUAUUAGUGAAACUUGAAAUUGUUAAAUUGUAAACGUACGCUCUACAUAGUUCAUGUUGAUUGUUUGACAUGGUUUCAUAUGUUGUAAAUUCGAUAGCAUCAUCAAAUUAGUUGAGACAGUCAUAGAUCAGAUUUAGAUUAACAGUUGGCAUGUACCUUGCUUUAAAAGAAAUCACGGUAAGGGGUUUGAUAUCUUGAUUUUCCUUAUUUCUCAAUGUUUUGUUACCCAUCAACACUUUUCCUCCUUUGAAUCCUUUCAAAUCAACCAACACAAUUUUGUUGGGAGAGUUUAUGGAAACUACAACAUGAGUCCAAAAAUGAUUCAUCCUUAGGAUCAUGGAUACUUACGAUAAGAAUUAUCAGCUCCUUGAUUUAUGUGACUAUAUUCAUAGAAUACUUUGGUUUGCUUUUGUUUUUAUGCGGACAAUUCAUUUUCUGAUGUCCCUCCUUACCACAUCAGAGUCAACAUUUUCCCUUGAACAUGUUGGAAGACUUUCCCCAGCAUCAUCAAAUUAGUUGAGACAGUCAUAGAAUACAUACAUGAACAAAAACGAACUGAAACUGCUUGGACUUUUUACAUUUUUUUUAUCUUUUCACAUUAUUUUGUAUGCGAAAACAUAUUCAAAGACGUGAUUACACCGUUACUAAUAAAAUAACAAUAUGUUAGCGGCCUUUUAAACUCGUUGCAACAGAUUAGAGAAUUUCUAUAAAAUUAUCUAUUAAAUGAUAAAUCUAUGAUUGUCAUGGAAGCUUCUUUCCGUACUAUUAUGAUAUGUAUGUGUCUACAUGUAACAUGUCUAUUCUUCUCGUUUGAAAUGAAAUAUAAUCACAUCACUGGUAUGUACCUAUUGAAAUGAAGCCAUAAUUGAGUACGUUUUCAAAGUUUAAUUGUUAUAUAAAUGGAGAUUCUGUAAGCAAGUUUCUGGAUGAUAUAUUUAUAUAUGCACGAAAUAUGUAUGAUAAUAUAUAUUAUUUAAAAUAUGAUAGAAAGUGCGACAAAUGUGUAUGCAUGGUUACGGACCUUACGUACGGUUGGUGGUGCGGUGUGGACAGGAUAUGCCGCCGAAACUAUCAUAAAUAAUUUUGAUAAUCAACCAAUCUCUAUACUUACUUACACAUAUAAAAUAACUUGAUUUCAUAUAUAAAUUUUCAUGAAAUUCGCUUCUCUUCUGCUCCUAGAAAAACAUAAAUCUUGUAAAUUUUGGUUAAGUGGGAAAACAAACCAAGACCUAAAAUUUGUAAAUUGAAAAAUCUCUUAGCACAGUUUAAAUACAAACAGUAAAAUUUGGAAGUAAAUUCGAAAUCGUAGAAAAAAAUUAGUUAAUAAUUUUUAAUUAAAUAAUACGUUAAUUUGGUGGAUACUAGUUGCCAAGUUAAAACUUUAUGUACCAAAGGUAGACAUUUAAUAAAAAUAAUUUAUAAAUUACCAAAAUAUAUAAAUAAUUUCUGCAAUUAUUAAUAAUUUGAAUUUUAAGAUAUUUUCAUUUGUUAUAUUUUAAAAUAUUUUUUGCACAUCGGCCAUUCUUCUGAUGUUAAUGUGGUGGACGUAGAUUUGAUCAGCGCAAAAUCAGUUCCAACAGAAUUAUAUUUUAGUUGUAUCUACAUAUAACUAUAGUUUUUAAUUAUGAUUUAUUAGGCUAUAUAUAAUUUCUAAAAUAAUAUUUUAUUGUAUAUCAAAUUUGUUAGUUUUACAUUGAUUAAAUUUUAAACUAAUUUAAUAUAAUCAAUAAAAUAUUUCAUUAUUCAACCAAAAUAAUUAGUUCACUAUUUCAUGGUUGGGGGUUUGGCUUGGACCAAUCAUUUUCUUUAUCGGAUUAAGUAAAUCAUCGUCGUCUUAUUUAAACUCACUAUCACUGGGACCAUCCAGUUUUGUCCUUUUCCUCGUCAUAAUUCUAAUGUGUACAACUAACAAUUCAGAAGUGGGUAAAAACCGAAUACAUGGUAUUUUCGGUAUAUUUGGUAUUCGGUUUAACUUGGACGAAUAAUAAAAUUUUGGAUUUAUAAUUGAUUUGUCAGAAGUAAGUAUUUAUAGUUUCAAAUACUUGAUAAAAAUGACGGAAUUGCAAGUUACUUGUCUCAUUUUGUUAUUUGUUAUUCGUGAAUACUUAAAAUUACUCGAUAAUUAUUAAUAAGUUAUUUAAUAAUUUGUUGAAAUUCAAAUCUAAAUAAAAUUUCUUUAUAAACAAUAUUUUAUUGUUUUCUUAUGUUUAAGUCAAUAGAGAAAUAAAAUAUAUAAGAAAGAGAACAUGCUUAUAUAAAUGUAUAUCUUAUGUUUAAUUCAUCCGUGAAAAUAGAAAUAUAAAUGAGUUUAUUAUACUUUGAUGGAGAGAGAAAAAAAUAUAUCUGUUCAUUAAUAAAAGCGAGUAACAAACCAAACAAAACCAAAUAGUUGUUAGUAUUUUAAUACUUUGAUACUUGCUUAAUAUUUAUAAGUAAUUUAAAUAGAUUAUUUGAUACUCUAUUUUGUCAAACCAAAUACCUGGACUUUACGGAUUAAGUAUUAGACCAAAUAACGAAUACAACCAAUUUUUGCCCAUUCCUAACUAACAUUGAUUAUAUAUAUAUACUGAUUUCAUGUCUAAACAUUAUUAGAACAUCUUCAGCUCUAUUAAUUUUAUUUUGUAUUCUAAAAUAAAUUUUAAAAUAAAAUGUUUUGCAAUUUUGUUCUACCUUUUACUCCACACCUGAAUAAAAAUAAAAUUAUUUUAUUUUUAUAAUAAUAACAAAAUUGUUAUUAUCAUAUUUUGCACUUCAAAAUAGAAUAGAAUUACACUAAAAUUUAACUUUAAAAUGAGAUUACACUUUUGAAAAGGAAUAAAAUAAUACAUUACAAAUGCUUUUUGUUAAUGGAUCAAGCAACUUUCAUAAAAAUACGACCACUUUUGAAAAGAUAAAACCAUCUUUGCGUUGUUGCAGGGGAAAACGUCACAUGUAUCUUCUCUGUUGACAAAAGAAAUGUAACCUCCUCUUCCCAAUAUUCAGGACAUUAUGUAAUUAAGAUUGUUGUUAGGUUUAUAUAACUUUUUGAACACUAUUGGUAUUCAUUAUUCACAUUUAUUUGACAUAUUUUGAAGGAACCUUCUCCUAAAACGGUUUCCAAGAACAAAGAAAAAAUCCCACGUUGUCAAUUCAAUUUAAUAACCAAUAUACAUUGUCGUCUUUGGUAGCCUGUUAUCAAGGAAUUUCGCACUUAUGACCUGUUACUUUUGCUUUUUAUCUUUUAUGUUUAUUUUCUUUAGGAUGAGAAUAAAGCCAUAUCUUUUUUUAUCAAAGAGAAUAAAGCCAUAUCAUGAGUUGAAAUUACUAACAAAAUUAAUUGAAAUCAGGUCUUGAAUAUUUAUAUGAGUAUUGUAUGGUUUUACUUUUUCCUUCAUUUUAAUUGCUAUACUUUCUAGUAUAUAUAUGUGUAUGUACAUUCUCAGAAUAAUGUUAUCAUAUUUAAAACUAAAAACUAAAAAUUUAAGAGUAAAUUAGCUAAAUAUACUAACAAAGGUGGGAUAUCAUUGAAUGGGGGGAAAAUGGUAAUGUUGGGGGGAAGAAAAUUGGAGGGAUAUAGGGUAUGGAGUGCAAAUAGGGAAAAAGUGGUGUGUAGGGAGUACAAAUUCUCAAAAUUUAAUAUAUUAGGUUUUUGGUGUUUUCAAUAAAUUAAUAGGAAAUGAUACGGAUUUGAUAAGAUAGACUUUAGUAACAUUUUCUGAUGAGUUUAGUGUACUUUUAGAAAGAUCACUAGUGCCUUAUAAUAAAUCAAAUCAUCUUGCAAAAGAUAACAACAAAGGAUCCACAAACACUCCUUCAAUGAUUUGGUUAAAGUUGUCUACCUUUUGACUUUAAAAUUUAAUCUACCUAACUUGAAGGUUUUAAUUUUGUACCUCGCGUUGUAAAACGUAUAAUUAUUUAUUUUACUGUUUUUCACUUAUAGAUUUUUUUUAUAUCAAAAAGUUAAUCUAUUACUCAAUUUGAAGUGGUCUAAGCAACCAGACCAGAAUAAAACAACCAACAAUACAUAAAUCUCUAUAGAAAAUACAGUUCUAGCUAAAUAAUCAGAAAAUCUAUAUAAGUUUUCCACUUACAGAUUAGAAUAUCAUGACUAGAGAAACCCAUAUUCUUGAUAUAUAUCAUGACUAGAGUUUGUAAAAUACAAUUAGUAUUACGUAAAUUACUGAACCAUUUUUAACAGUAUUUAAUGAUCAUAUAAAAUUUUGUAACUAAAGAGGUUUAGUUAACAGUGAAACGCUCAACUUAUAUAUCUAAGAAAAUGUCAUUUAUUAACUAACGGAAUGCUUUACAACGCAAGAAACAAUCAAGUAGCUGCGAACAAAAAUCCGUCUACUAAACAUUGAUGAUAAGUGUCUUUGGGGAAACUUAAACAACAAG